UAACUGAAGAGUUUGAUCAUGGCUCAGAUUGAACGCUGGCGGCAGGCUUAACACAUGCAAGUCGAGCGGGGGAAGGUAGCUUGCUACUGGACCUAGCGGCGGACGGGUGAGUAAUGCUUAGGAAUCUGCCUAUUAGUGGGGGACAACAUCUCGAAAGGGAUGCUAAUACCGCAUACGUCCUACGGGAGAAAGCAGGGGAUCUUCGGACCUUGCGCUAAUAGAUGAGCCUAAGUCGGAUUAGCUAGUUGGUGGGGUAAAGGCCUACCAAGGCGACGAUCUGUAGCGGGUCUGAGAGGAUGAUCCGCCACACUGGGACUGAGACACGGCCCAGACUCCUACGGGAGGCAGCAGGGGGGAAUAUUGGACAAUGGGCGCAACCCUGAUCCAGCCAUGCCGCGUGUGUGAAGAAGGCUUUCUGGUUGUAAAGCACUUUAAGCGAGGAGGAGGCUACUUUAGUU
This 458-nucleotide ribosomal RNA is filed under the name Acinetobacter nosocomialis. Its description in RNAcentral is "bacterial SSU rRNA". It matches the Rfam family "Bacterial small subunit ribosomal RNA", at positions 1 to 461 of the family's 1533-position model. The record is from RNAcentral. Lineage: Bacteria; Pseudomonadati; Pseudomonadota; Gammaproteobacteria; Moraxellales; Moraxellaceae.